Pelobates cultripes (western spadefoot toad) is the source of this 236-nucleotide non-coding RNA. Lineage: Eukaryota; Metazoa; Chordata; Amphibia; Anura; Pelobatidae. The record is from the annotation of a GenBank genome assembly.
GGCAUCUCCAAUGAACAAGGAUGGCAACUCCAUUCCUCUUAUUUAGGGCCCUUGAUUCAUAUGUGGUGCUAUUGGUGUGGUCCCUAAGGGCAAACUUUAGUCCCUUAACAUUUUACAGGUAUGUCAUAUUCAGUGGGGUGCCUCUAUAUUUAAACAUUCUGUCAUGUCUGCUGUUAUUCCAGACAGCUGGGUCUUCCCCGAAUAUCUCCCCAGAGGAGAUAAGGGAAGGGUAAGGG